CCUGCCCACUGCAGGGGGACAACAGCUGGAAACAGAUGCUAAUACCCCAUAAGCCUAAGGGUUCAAAGGAGCAAUCCGGGAGAGGAGAGACUCGCGUCCUAUCAGUUAGUAGGUGAGAUAAUGGCUCACCUAGGAUAAGACGGGUAACCGGACUGAGAGGUCGAACGGUCACACUGGAAAUGAGACACGGUCCAGACUCCUACGGGAGGCAGCAGUGGGGAAUCCUGGGCAAUGGGGGCAACCCUGACCCAGCGACGCCGCCGUGGGUGAAGAAAUUCUUCGGAAUGUAAAGCCCUGUUGUAUGGGAAGAUAAUGACGGUACCAUACCAGAAAGCCCCGGCAAACUACGUGCCAGCAGCCUGCGGUAAUACGUAGGGGGCAAGCGUUGUCCGGAAUUACUGGGCGUAAAGCGCAAGCAGGGCGGAUACUUGUAAGUUCCGUUGUUAAAUGCAAAGGCUCAACCUUUGUUUGUCGUCGGAUACUCCAAAUCUAGAGUAUCUGAGAGGGAAGUGGAAUUUCAGGUGUAACGGUGAAAUGUGUAGAUAUGUGGAGGCACACCAGUGGCGAAGACGACUUCCUG
RNAcentral lists this ribosomal RNA (580 nucleotides) under uncultured bacterium. RNAcentral's name for it is "bacterial SSU rRNA". It matches the Rfam family "Bacterial small subunit ribosomal RNA", at positions 125 to 731 of the family's 1533-position model. The record is from RNAcentral.